GGGCCGGUAGCUCAGCCUGGUAGAGCACCUGACUUUUAAUAACAAAGAAGGCAUCAGGUGGUCGCGAGUUCGAAUCUCGUCCGGCCCG
RNAcentral lists this transfer RNA (88 nucleotides) under Candidatus Woesearchaeota archaeon. RNAcentral describes it as "tRNA-Lys". It matches the Rfam family "tRNA". From Rfam's summary of the family: Transfer RNA (tRNA) molecules are approximately 80 nucleotides in length. Their secondary structure includes four short double-helical elements and three loops (D, anti-codon, and T loops). Further hydrogen bonds mediate the characteristic L-shaped molecular structure. tRNAs have two regions of fundamental functional importance: the anti-codon, which is responsible for specific mRNA codon recognition, and the 3' end, to which the tRNAs corresponding amino acid is attached (by aminoacyl-tRNA synthetases). tRNAs cope with the degeneracy of the genetic code in two manners: having more than one tRNA (with a specific anti-codon) for a particular amino acid; and 'wobble' base-pairing, i.e. permitting non-standard base-pairing at the 3rd anti-codon position. Lineage: Archaea; Nanobdellati; Candidatus Woesearchaeota. The record is from RNAcentral.